RNAcentral lists this ribosomal RNA (514 nucleotides) under uncultured bacterium. Its description in RNAcentral is "bacterial SSU rRNA". It matches the Rfam family "Bacterial small subunit ribosomal RNA", at positions 8 to 518 of the family's 1533-position model. The record is from RNAcentral.
AGAGUUGAUCCUGGCUCAGGAUGAACGCUAGCUACAGGCUAACACAUGCAAGUCGAGGGGCAGCAUGACCUAGCAAUAGGUGAUGGCGACCGGCGCACGGGUGAGUAACACGUAUCCAACCUACCGGUUAUUCCGGGAUAGCCUUUCGAAAGAAAGAUUAAUACCGGAUAGUAUAACGAGAAGGCAUCUUUUUGUAUUAAAGAAUUUCGAUAACCGAUGGGGAUGCGUUCCAUUAGUUUGUUGGCGGGGUAGCGGCCCACCAAGACAUCGAUGGAUAGGGGUUCUGAGAGGAAGGUCCCCCACAUUGGAACUGAGACACGGUCCAAACUCCUACGGGAGGCAGCAGUGAGGAAUAUUGGUCAAUGGACGAGAGUCUGAACCAGCCAAGUAGCGUGAAAAGGAUGACUGCCCUAUGGGUUGUAAACUUCUUUUAUAUGGGAAUAAAGUGAGCCACGUGUGGCUUUUUGUAUGUACCAUACGAAUAAGGAUCGGCUAACUCCGUGCCAGCCGCAGC